GAAGGUAUAGCUCAGUGGCAGAGCGUGUGCCUAGCAUGCACAAGGUCCUGGGUUCAAUCCCCAGGACCUUCA
RNAcentral lists this transfer RNA (72 nucleotides) under Camelus bactrianus (Bactrian camel). It matches the Rfam family "tRNA". From Rfam's summary of the family: Transfer RNA (tRNA) molecules are approximately 80 nucleotides in length. Their secondary structure includes four short double-helical elements and three loops (D, anti-codon, and T loops). The record is from Rfam by way of RNAcentral. RNAcentral also lists the same sequence under 1 other name. Lineage: Eukaryota; Metazoa; Chordata; Mammalia; Artiodactyla; Camelidae.